GCAUUAAUGGGGUAGUGGUAACCUGGGUCGUUGCCAUUGUCGGUUCUCAUCAGAAAAUCGACCCGCCGGGGGUUCGAUUCCCUCUUAAUGCA
This 92-nucleotide transfer RNA is filed under the name Laccaria bicolor S238N-H82. It matches the Rfam family "tRNA". Rfam says of the family: Transfer RNA (tRNA) molecules are approximately 80 nucleotides in length. The record is from Rfam by way of RNAcentral. Lineage: Eukaryota; Fungi; Basidiomycota; Agaricomycetes; Agaricales; Hydnangiaceae.